ACCAUGGAUCAAAGGAGAAAUCAAAAGGAAAUUAUUUUGAGCUGAUUGAAAAGUGCAGUGUGACCAUCAAUCUUGGUGUGACACCAUUCGAGCGACAGGAAGCAACUGUACUAGGAAACCAAGGGAGGCGCGGUGGCUCGGGCCUGGGACCUCACCCUCCGGGAGCCUGGGCAGCCAAGGGAGAGAAGCAGCUCAGCCCAGUGUGCAGCAUCUGUGAACGCCAGCUAAGCUCGUGCUUAGGGGUGGGCGAAGUGGUGCCCCUCUCUCAAAUAGGAAUAACCGUUCCUGGGGGUUCUAGGCAGUGCAACAAACAAAAGCCAAGCAGGAAAGGAGUAAAACUUACCUUCUUUGCAGGUGUUGUGGCUGACGGUGCGGUAAAUACGAUGUUACACGAGCGGUAUCUGACCUGUGAGAUGAACCGAGCCGGGCUGCAGCCUGCAAUGUUGAUAGCAAGGGAUGACGGGGUGCACCACCAGGCCGGCCUGCAUAUCUACCAAGUGCUGUGGCAUUUCUUGGCAAAGGAGGAGGAGAACUCAAGCACGGAUUCAAGAGAUUCAGGGAGGCAGCCAGAGCACAAACCCGCCCAAGGCCAAGCGUCCCCUCCCGGUGAUGCCCGUCCGGGUAAGUGAAGAGCAUGGUCGGGGGCAUUUUGUUGGCAUGCACUGUGCUUUUGCCCGAGAAGGUGGG
Molecule: long non-coding RNA, 687 nt
Organism: Cavia porcellus (domestic guinea pig)
Lineage: Eukaryota; Metazoa; Chordata; Mammalia; Rodentia; Caviidae
Exons: 3
Source: RefSeq, a predicted model, not a curated record